ACCAACAACCCUGGAGAGGAGUUGCUGAGACUGAUAUCCUGAGGAGACAGAGGACCUUUGGACUACUGAGCCCCCUGCCCAGACUAUGCCCUGGCCUGCAUCCUUGGGAAAUAUCAGCUCUGGGAGAUGUCAGCUUGUCACCACCAGUGGCUAUUCAGCUGGAAGUCUAUAGCAGCUUGUCUUACAGGCUGUGGAACCAUGUGACUUGCUCAUGAAAACAGAAAAGAGACGUGAGGAGCAGGCGUUUGGAUGCUACAGUGAUGAAGAUGAGG
Non-coding RNA from Chrysemys picta bellii (western painted turtle), 272 nucleotides. Lineage: Eukaryota; Metazoa; Chordata; Testudines; Emydidae. The record is from RefSeq and is a predicted model, not a curated record.